This 496-nucleotide ribosomal RNA is filed under the name uncultured bacterium. RNAcentral's name for it is "partial 16S ribosomal RNA". It matches the Rfam family "Bacterial small subunit ribosomal RNA", at positions 28 to 506 of the family's 1533-position model. The record is from RNAcentral.
GACGAACGCUGGCGGCGUGCCUAAUACAUGCAAGUAGAACGCUGAAGCGAGGAGCUUGCUCUUCUUGGAUGAGUUGCGAACGGGUGAGUAACGCGUAGGUAACCUGCCUUGUAGCGGGGGAUAACUAUUGGAAACGAUAGCUAAUACCGCAUAACAAUGGAUGACACAUGUCAUUUAUUUGAAAGGGGCAAUUGCUCCACUACAAGAUGGACCUGCGUUGUAUUAGCUAGUAGGUGAGGUAAUGGCUCACCUAGGCGACGAUACAUAGCCGACCUGAGAGGGUGAUCGGCCACACUGGGACUGAGACACGGCCCAGACUCCUACGGGAGGCAGCAGUAGGGAAUCUUCGGCAAUGGGGGCAACCCUGACCGAGCAACGCCGCGUGAGUGAAGAAGGUUUUCGGAUCGUAAAGCUCUGUUGUAAGUCAAGAACGGGUGUGAGAGUGGAAAGUUCACACUGUGACGGUAGCUUACCAGAAAGGGACGGAUAACUACGU